UUUUUUUUUUUUUUUCCCUUUAUUUAACUAGGCAAGUCAGUUAAGAACAAAUUCUUAUUUUCAAUGACGGCCUAGGAACAGUGGGUUAACUGCCUGUUCAGGGGCAGAACGACAGAUUUGUACCUUGUCAGCUCGGGGAUUUGAACUUUCAACCUUCCGGUUACUAGUCCAACGCUCUAACCACUAGGCUACGCUACGCUAGCCUAGGUGUUUAGGUGGUGUGUGUGAGCAGCCCCUGGCUCACUUAACCUGGCCAUGGUAUAGUUGGAGUAAGGUGUGUGUGUGUGUGUGUCUGGGUUCUGGCUGGGAGAGAGGUGGAGAAAGAGGGGAGGUGGUGUGUGUGUGUAGGCUUUGUGUUGCUGGCAACAACAGUGCACUGUGGCAAGCCAUUGAGUCACAGCAUUGGUGGCGUGGAUUUCUGUGUUCCAGUGCAGGUGUGUGUGGGUGGGCUCCCUGUGCGUGGUGUUGUGUCUGUGUUCUGUCUGCUCGUGUCGUGUGUGUACCAGUUGUGUCCCUGGUGUGUGGGUGUAUGUCUUCGUGUGUGUCAGUCUCUCUCUGCUCUGUGUGUGUGGCUGCAGGCAAGGAGGGGAGAGAAGUGUGUGUGACUGUGUUGGUUCAGAAUUGUGUGUUUGUGGGCGAAGGGUAACUUCUAGAUUUGCUGGUAUAAAUUGGUGUAGGUUCUACCACACACACACGGACGGACGGACGGACGGACGGACGGACGUUUGCUGUGAGUGUAGAGCUAGAUGCUGCAGUCUGUACUGUGUUGUGCUGUGGUGGCCUUACAAAGGGUUAGUUGGUGUUGUUUGUACUGUGUUGUGCUGUGGUGGCCUUACAAAGGGUUAGUUGGUGUUGUUUGUACUGUGUUGUGCUGUGGUGGCCUUACAAAGGGUUAGUUGGUGUUGUCUGGGGUUGGUAGAUCAGGUGAGAUUCACUUGGAGUCUGUGGACUGUAGUGUUAUUGUUCUAAGAUUGUAGAGUAUUGUGAUGGAUGGAUGGAUGGAUGGAUGGAUGGAUGGAUGGAUGGAUGGAUGGAUGGAUGGAUAGAUAGGUGGUGGGAGUAGAUUAGGAGAAGGAAUCCACAGGUUGUUGUGGUAGAUAAGAUGUAUCAGUCACUGUCUGACAGUGGAUAGGCUUUUUGCUGUAGUGUUGUUAUUAGAGGUUAGGACUAGUAACAGGGAUGUUGUAGUGUUAGUGGAGGUUAGGACUAGUAACAGGGAUGUUGUAGUGUUAGUGGAGGUUAGGACGAGUAACAGGGAUGUUGUGGUGUUAGUGGAGGUUAGGACUAGUAACAGGAAUGUUAUAGUGUUAGUAGAGGUUAGAACUAGUAACAGGGAUGUUAUAGUGUUAGUGGAGGUUAGGACUAGUAACAGGGAUGUUAUAGUGUUAGUAGAGGUUAGGACUAGUAACAGGGAUGUUGUGGUGUUAGUGGAGGUUAGGACUAGUAACAGGGAUGUUAUAGUGUUAGUAGAGGUUAGGACUAGUAACAGGGAUGUUGUAGUGUCAGUGGAGGUUAGGACUAGUAACAGGGAUGUUAUAGUGUUAGUAGAGUUUAGGACUAGUAACAGGGAUGUUGUAGUGUUAGUGGAGGUUAGGACUAGUAACAGGGAUGUUGUAGUGUUAGUGAAGGUUAGGACUAGUAACAGGGAUGUUGUGGUGUUGGUGGAGGUUAGGACUAGUAACGGGGAUGUUAUAGUGUUGGUGGAGGUUAGAACUAGUAACAGGGAUGUUGUAGUGUUAGUGGAGGUUAGGACUAGUAACAGGGAUGUUGUGGUGUUGGUGGAGGUUAGGACUAGUAACAGGGAUGUUAUAGUAUUAGUGGAGGUUAGGACUAGUAACAGGGAUGUUGUGGUGUUGGUGGAGGUUAGGACUAGUAACAGGGAUGUUAUAGUAUUAGUGGAGGUUAGGACUAGUACCAGGGAUGUUGUAGUGUUAGUGGAGGUUAGGACUAGUAACAGGGAUGUUAUAGUGUUGGUGGAUGUUAGGACUAGUAACAGGGAUGUUGUGGUGUUGGUGGAGGUUAGGACUAGUAACAGGGAUGUUGUAGUGUUAGUGGAGGUUAGGACUAGUAACAGGGAUGUUAUAGUGUUGGUGGACAUUAGGACUAGUAACAGGGAUGUUGUGGUGUUAGUGGAGGUUAGCACUAGUAACAGGGAUGUUGUGGUGUUGGUGGAGGUUAGGACUAGUAACAGGGAUGUUGUGGUGUUGGUGGAGGUUGGGACUAGUAACAGGGAUGUUGUAGUGCUAGUGGAGGUUAGGACUAGUAACAGGGAUGUUGUGGUGUUGGUGGAGGUUAGGACUAGUAACAGGGAUGUUGUAGUGUUGGUGGAGGUUAGGACUAGUAACAGGGAUGUUGUAGUGUUGGUGGAGGUUAGGACUAGUAACAGGGAUGUUGUGGUGUUAGUGGAGGUUAGGACUAGUAACAGGGAUGUUGUAGUGUUGGUGGAGGUUAGGACUAGUAACAGGGAUGUUAUAGUAUUAGUGGAGGUUAGGACUAGUAACAGGGAUGGUGUAGUGCUAGUGGAGGUUAGGACUAGUAACAGGGAUGUUGUGGUGUUGGUGGAGGUUAGGACUAGUAACAUGGAUGUUGUAGUGUUAGUGGAGGUUAGGACUAGUAACAGAGAUGUUGUAGUGUUGGUGGAGGUUAGGACUAGUAACAGGGAUGUUGUGGUGUUGGUGGAGGUUAGGACUAGUAACAGGGAUGUUGUAGUGUUAGUGGAGGUUAGGACUAGUAACAGGGAUGUUGUGGUGUUGGUGGAGGUUAGGACUAGUAACAGGGAUGUUGUGGUGUUGGUGGAGGUUAGGACUAGUAACAGGGAUGUUGUGGUGUUGGUGGAGGUUGGGACUAGUAACAGGGAUGUUGUAGUGCUAGUGGAGGUUAGGACUAGUAACAGGGAUGUUGUGGUGUUGGUGGAGGUUAGGACUAGUAACAGGGAUGUUGUAGUGUUGGUGGAGGUUAGGACUAGUAACAGGGAUGUUGUAGUGUUGGUGGAGGUUAGGACUAGUAACAGGGAUGUUAUGGUGUUAGUGGAGGUUAGGACUAGUAACAGGGAUGUUGUAGUGUUGGUGGAGGUUAGGACUAGUAACAGGGAUGUUAUAGUAUUAGUGGAGGUUAGGACUAGUAACAGGGAUGGUGUAGUGCUAGUGGAGGUUAGGACUAGUAACAGGGAUGUUGUGGUGUUGGUGGAGGUUAGGACUAGUAACAUGGAUGUUGUAGUGUUAGUGGAGGUUAGGACUAGUAACAGAGAUGUUGUAGUGUUGGUGGAGGUUAGGACUAGUAACAGGGAUGUUGUGGUGUUGGUGGAGGUUAGGACUAGUAACAGGGAUGUUGUAGUGUUAGUGGAGGUUAGGACUAGUAACAGGGAUGUUGUGGUGUUGGUGGAGGUUAGGACUAGUAACAGGGAUGUUGUGGUGUUAGUGGAGGUUAGGACUAGUAACAGGGAUGUUAUAGUAUUAGUGGAGGUUAGGACUAGUAACAGGGAUGGUGUAGUGCUAGUGGAGGUUAGGACUAGUAACAGGGAUGUUGUGGUGUUGGUGGAGGUUAGGACUAGUAACAUGGAUGUUGUAGUGUUAGUGGAAGUUAGGACUAGUAACAGAGAUGUUGUAGUGUUGGUGGAGGUUAGGACUAGUAACAGGAAUGUUGUGGUGUUAGUGGAGGUUAGGACUAGUAACAGGGAUGUUGUGGUGUUGGUGGAGGUUAGGACUAGUAACAGGGAUGUUGUGGUGUUAGUGGAGGUUAGGACUAGUAACAGGGAUGUUGUAGUGUUGGUGGAGGUUAGGACUAGUAACAGGGAUGUUGUAUUGUUAGUGGAGGUUAGGACUAGUAACAGGGAUGUUGUGGUGUUGGUGGAGGUUAGGACUAGUAACAGGGAUGUUAUAGUAUUAGUGGAGGUUAGGACUAGUAACAGGGAUGUUGUGGUGUUGGUGGAGGUUAGGACUAGUAACAGGGAUGUUGUGGUGUUAGUGGAGGUUAGGACUAGUAACAGGGAUGUUGUGGUGUUAGUGGAGGUUAGGACUAGUAACAGGGAUGUUGUGGUGUUGGUGAAGGUUAGGACUAGUAACAGGGAUGUUGUGGUGUUGGUGGAGGUUAGGACUAGUAACAGGGAUGUUGUAGUGUUGGAGGUUAGAACUAGUAACAGGGAUGUUAUAGUGUUAGUGGAGUUUAGGACUAGUAACAGGGAUGUUAUAGUGUUGGUGGAGGUUAGGACUAGUAACAGGGAUGUUGUGGUGUUAGUGGUUAGGACUAGUAACAGGGAUGGUGUGGUGUUGGUGGAGGUUAGGACUAGUAACAGGGAUGGUUUGGUGUUGGUGGAGGUUAGGACUAGUAACAGGGAUGUUGUGGUGUUAGUGGAGUUUAGGACUAGUAACAGGGAUGUUGUGGUGUUAGUGGAGGUUAGAACUAGUAACAGGGAUGUUAUAGUGUUGGUGGAGGUUAGGACUAGUAACAGGGAUGUUGUAGUGUUAGUGGAGGUUAGGACUAGUAUCAUGGAUGUUAUAGUGUUAGUAGAGGUUAGGACUAGUAACAGGGAUGUUGUAGUGCUAGUGGAGGUUAGGACUAGUAACAGGGAUGUUAUAGUUUUAGUAGAGGUUAGGACUAGUAACAGGGAUGUUGUGGUGUUGGUGGAGGUUAGGACUAGUAACAGGGAUGUUAUAGUGUUGGUGGAGGUUAGGACUAGUAACAGGGAUGUUGUAGUGCUAGUGGAGGUUAGGACUAGUAACAGGGAUGUUGUGGUGUUGGUGGAGGUUAUGACUAGUAACAGGGGUGUUGGUGGAGGUUAGGACUAGUAACAGGGAUGUUGUAGUGUUGGCGGAGGUUAGGACUAGUAACAGGGAUGUUGUGGUGUUGGUGGAGGUUAGGACUAGUAACAGGGAUGUUAUAGUGUUGGUGGAGGUUAGAACUAGUAACAGGGAUGUUAUAGUAUUAGUGGAGGUUAGGACUAGUAACAGGGAUGUUGUAGUGCUAGUGGAGGUAUGGACUAGUAACAGGGAUGUUGUAUUGUUAGUGGAGGUUAGGACUAGUAACAGGGAUGUUGUGGUGUUGGUGGAGGUUAGGACUAGUAACAGGGAUGUUAUAGUAUUAGUGGAGGUUAGGACUAGUAACAGGGAUGUUGUGGUGUUGGUGGAGGUUAGGACUAGUAACAGGGAUGUUGUGGUUUUGGUGGAGGUUAGGACUAGUAACAGGGAUGUUAUAGUAUUAGUGGAGGUUAGGACUAGUAACAGGGAUGUUGUGGUGUUGGUGGAGGUUAGGACUAGUAACAGGGAUGUUGUGGUGUUAGUGGAGGUUAGGACUAGUAACAGGGAUGUUGUAGUGUUGGUGGAGGUUAGGACUAGUAACAGGAAUGUUGUGGUGUUGGUGGAGGUUAGGACUAGUAACAGGGAUGUUGUGGUGUUGGUGGAGGUUAGGACUAGUAACAGGGAUGUUGUGGUGUUAGUGGAGGUUAGGACUAGUAACAGGGAUGUUGUGGUGUUAGUGGAGGUUAGGACUAGUAACAGGGAUGUUGUGGUGUUGGUGAAGGUUAGGACUAGUAACAGGGAUGUUGUGGUGUUGGUGGAGGUUAGGACUAGUAACAGGGAUGUUGUAGUGUUGGAGGUUAGAACUAGUAACAGGGAUGUUAUAGUGUUAGUGGAGUUUAGGACUAGUAACAGGGAUGUUAUAGUGUUGGUGGAGGUUAGGACUAGUAACAGGGAUGUUGUGGUGUUAGUGGUUAGGACUAGUAACAGGGAUGGUGUGGUGUUGGUGGAGGUUAGGACUAGUAACAGGGAUGGUUUGGUGUUGGUGGAGGUUAGGACUAGUAACAGGGAUGUUGUGGUGUUAGUGGAGGUUAGGACUAGUAACAGGGAUGUUGUGGUGUUAGUGGAGGUUAGAACUAGUAACAGGGAUGUUAUAGUGUUGGUGGAGGUUAUGACUAGUAACAGGGAUGUUGUAGUGUUAGUGGAGGUUAGGACUAGUAUCAUGGAUGUUAUAGUGUUAGUAGAGGUUAGGACUAGUAACAGGGAUGUUGUAGUGCUAGUGGAGGUUAGGACUAGUAACAGGGAUGUUGUGGUGUUCGUGGAGGUUAGGACUAUUAACAGGGAUGUUGUGGUGUUAGUGGAGGUUAGGACUAGUAACAGGGAUGUUGUGGUGUUAGUGGAGGUUAGGACUAGUAACAGUGAUGUUAUAGUGUUGGUGGAGGUUAGAACUAGUAACAGGGAUGUUGUAGUGUUAGUGGAGGUUAGGACUAGUAACAGUGAUGUUAUAGUGUUGGUGGAGGUUAGAACUAGUAACAGGGAUGUUGUAGUGUUAGUGGAGGUUAGGACUAGUAACAGGGAUGUUGUGGUGUUGGUGGAGGUUAGGACUAGUAACAGGGAUGUUAUAGUAUUAGUGGAGGUUAGGACUAGUACCAGGGAUGUUGUAGUGUUAGUGGAGGUUAGGACUAGUAACAGGGAUGUUAUAGUGUUGGUGGAUGUUAGGACUAGUAACAGGGAUGUUGUGGUGUUGUUGGAGGUUAGGACUAGUAACAGGAAUGUUGUGGUGUUAGUGGAGGUUAGGACUAGUAACAGGGAUGUUGUGGUGUUAGUGGAGGUUAGGACUAGUAACAGGGAUGUUGUGGUGUUGGUGAAGGUUAGGACUAGUAACAGGGAUGUUGUGGUGUUGGUGGAGGUUAGGACUAGUAACAGGGAUGUUGUAGUGUUGGAGGUUAGAACUAGUAACAGGGAUGUUAUAGUGUUAGUGGAGUUUAGGACUAGUAACAGGGAUGUUAUAGUGUUGGUGGAGGUUAGGAUUAGUAACAGGGAUGUUGUGGUGUUGGUGGAGGUUGGGACUAGUAACAGGGAUGUUGUAGUGUUGGUGGAGGUUAGGACUAGUAACGGGGAUGUUGUGGUGUUAGUGGUUAGGACUAGUAACAGGGAUGGUGUGGUGUUGGUGGAGGUUAGGACUAGUAACAGGGAUGGUUUGGUGUUGGUGGAGUUUAGGACUAGUAACAGGGAUGUUGUGGUGUUAGUGGAGGUUAGGACUAGUAACAGGGAUGUUGUGGUGUUAGUGGAGGUUAGAACUAGUAACAGGGAUGUUAUAGUGUUGGUGGAGGUUAGGACUAGUAACAGGGAUGUUGUAGUGUUAGUGGAGGUUAGGACUAGUAUCAUGGAUGUUAUAGUGUUAGUAGAGGUUAGGACUAGUAACAGGGAUGUUGUAGUGUUAGUGGAGGUUAGGGCUGGUAACAGGGAUGUUAUAGUGUUGGUGGAGGUUAGAACUAGUAACAGGGAUGUUGUAGUGUUAGUGGAGGUUAGGACUAGUAACAGGGAUGUUGUGGUGUUGGUGGAGGUUAGGACUAGUAACAGGGAUGUUAUAGUAUUAGUGGAGGUUAGGACUAGUAACAGGGAUGUUGUGGUGUUGGUGGAGGUUAGGACUAGUAACAGGGAUGUUAUAGUAUUAGUGGAGGUUAGGACUAGUAACAGGGAUGUUGUAGUGUUAGUGGAGGUUAGGACUAGUAACAGGGAUGUUAUAGUGUUGGUGGAUGUUAGGACUAGUAACAGGGAUGUUGUGGUGUUGGUGGAGGUUAGGACUAGUAACAGGGAUGUUGUGGUGUUAGUGGAGGUUAGUACUAGUAACAGGGAUGUUGUAGUGUUGGUGGAGGUUAGGACUAGUAACAGGGAUGUUGUAGUGUUGGUGGAGGUUAUGACUAGUAACAGGGAUGUUGUGGUGUUGGUGGAGGUUAGGACUAGUAACAGGGAUGUUGUAGUGUUAGUGGAGGUUAGGACUAGUAACAGGGAUGUUGUGGUGUUGGUGGAGGUUAGGACUAGUAACAGGGAUGUUGUGGUGUUAGUGGAGGUUAGGACUAGUAACAGGGAUGUUGUAGUGUUGGUGGAGGUUAGGACUAGUAACAGGGAUGAUGUGGAGGUUAGGACUAGUAACAGGGAUGUUGUGGUGUUGGUGGAGGUUAGGACUAGUAACAGGGAUGUUAUAGUAUUAGUGGAGGUUAGGACUAGUAACAGGGAUGGUGUAGUGCUAGUGGAGGUUAGGACUAGUAACAGGGAUGUUGUGGUGUUGGUGGAGGUUAGGACUAGUAACAUGGAUGUUGUAGUGUUAGUGGAGGUUAGGACUAGUAACAGAGAUGUUGUAGUGUUGGAGGAGGUUAGGACUAAUAACAGGAAUGUUGUGGUGUUAGUGGAGGUUAGGACUAGUAAGAGGGAUGUUGUGGUGUUGGUGGAGGUUAGGACUAGUAACAGGGAUGUUGUGGUGUUAGUGGAGGUUAGGACUAGUAACAGGGAUGUUGUAGUGUUGGUGGAGGUUAGGACUAGUAACAGGAAUGUUGUGGUGUUGGUGGAGGUUAGGACUAGUAACAGGGAUGUUGUGGUGUUGGUGGAGGUUAGGACUAGUAACAGGGAUGUUGUAUUGUUAGUGGAGGUUAGGACUAGUAACAGGGAUGUUGUGGUGUUGGUGGAGGUUAGGACUAGUAACAGGGAUGUUAUAGUAUUAGUGGAGGUUAGGACUAGUAACAGGGAUGUUGUGGUGUUGGUGGAGGUUAGGACUAGUAACAGGGAUGUUGUGGUGUUAGUGGAGGUUAGGACUAGUAACAGGGAUGUUGUAGUGUUGGUGGAGGUUAGGACUAGUAACAGGAAUGUUGUGGUGUUGGUGGAGGUUAGGACUAGUAACAGGGAUGUUGUGGUGUUGGUGGAGGUUAGGACUAGUAACAGGGAUGUUGUGGUGUUAGUGGAGGUUAGGACUAGUAACAGGGAUGUUGUGGUGUUAGUGGAGGUUAGGACUAGUAACAGGGAUGUUGUGGUGUUGGUGAAGGUUAGGACUAGUAACAGGGAUGUUGUGGUGUUGGUGGAGGUUAGGACUAGUAACAGGUAUGUUGUAGUGUUGGAGGUUAGAACUAGUAACAGGGAUGUUAUAGUGUUAGUGGAGUUUAGGACUAGUAACAGGGAUGUUAUAGUGUUGGUGGAGGUUAGGACUAGUAACAGGGAUGUUGUGGUGUUAGUGGUUAGGACUAGUAACAGGGAUGGUGUGGUGUUGGUGGAGGUUAGGACUAGUAACAGGGAUGGUUUGGUGUUGGUGGAGGUUAGGACUAGUAACAGGGAUGUUGUGGUGUUAGUGGAGGUUAGGACUAGUAACAGGGAUGUUGUGGUGUUAGUGGAGGUUAGAACUAGUAACAGGGAUGUUAUAGUGUUGGUGGAGGUUAGGACUAGUAUAAGGGAUGUUGUAGUGUUAGUGGAGGUUAGGACUAGUAUCAUGGAUGUUAUAGUGUUAGUAGAGGUUAGGACUAGUAACAGGGAUGUUGUAGUGCUAGUGGAGGUUAGGACUAGUAACAGGGAUGUUAUAUUUUUAGUAGAGGUUAGGACUAGUAACAGGGAUGUUGUGGUGUUGGUGGAGGUUAGGACUAGUAACAGGGAUGUUAUAGUGUUGGUGGAGGUUAGGACUAGUAACAGGGAUGUUGUAGUGUUGGUGGAGGUUAUGACUAGUAACAGGGGUGUUGGUGGAGGUUAGGACUAGUAACAGGGAUGUUGUAGUGUUGGUGGAGGUUAGGACUAGUAACAGGGAUGUUGUGGUGUUGGUGGAGGUUAGGACUAGUAACAGGGAUGUUAUAGUGUUGGUGGAGGUUAGGACUAGUAACAGGGAUGUUGUGGUGUUGGUGGAGGUUAGGACUAGUAACAGGGAUGUUGUGGUGUUGGUGGAGGUUAGAACUAGUAACAGGGAUGUUAUAGUGUUAGUGGAGGUUGGGACUAGUAACAGGGAUGUUGUGUUGUUGGUGGAGGUUAGGACUAGUAACAGGGAUGUUGUAGUGCUAGUGGAGGUUAGGACUAGUAACAGGGAUGUUGUGGUGUUGGUGGAGGUUAGGACUAGUAACAGGGAUGUUGUAUUGUUAGUGGAGGUUAGGACUAGUAACAGGGAUGUUGUGGUGUUGGUGGAGGUUAGGACUAGUAACAGGGAUGUUAUAGUAUUAGUGGAGGUUAGGACUAGUAACAGGGAUGUUGUGGUGUUGGUGGAGGUUAGGACUAGUAACAGGGAUGUUGUGGUGUUGGUGGAGGUUAGGACUAGUAACAGGGAUGUUAUAGUAUUAGUGGAGGUUAGGACUAGUAACAGGGAUGUUGUGGUGUUGGUGGAGGUUAGGACUAGUAACAGGGAUGUUGUGGUGUUAGUGGAGGUUAGGACUAGUAACAGGGAUGUUGUAGUGUUGGUGGAGGUUAGGACUAGUAACAGGAAUGUUGUGGUGUUGGUGGAGGUUAGGACUAGUAACAGGGAUGUUGUGGUGUUGGUGGAGGUUAGGACUAGUAACAGGGAUGUUGUGGUGUUAGUGGAGGUUAGGACUAGUAACAGGGAUGUUGUGGUGUUAGUGGAGGUUAGGACUAGUAACAGGGAUGUUGUGGUGUUGGUGAAGGUUAGGACUAGUAACAGGGAUGUUGUGGUGUUGGUGGAGGUUAGGACUAGUAACAGGGAUGUUGUAGUGUUGGAGGUUAGAACUAGUAACAGGGAUGUUAUAGUGUUAGUGGAGUUUAGGACUAGUAACAGGGAUGUUAUAGUGUUGGUGGAGGUUAGGACUAGUAACAGGGAUGUUGUGGUGUUAGUGGUUAGGACUAGUAACAGGGAUGGUGUGGUGUUGGUGGAGGUUAGGACUAGUAACAGGGAUGGUUUGGUGUUGGUGGAGGUUAGGACUAGUAACAGGGAUGUUGUAGUGUUAGUGGAGGUUAGGACUAGUAACAGGGAUGUUGUGGUGUUAGUGGAGGUUAGAACUAGUAACAGGGAUGUUAUAGUGUUGGUGGAGGUUAGGACUAGUAACAGGGAUGUUGUAGUGUUAGUGGAGGUUAGGACUAGUAUCAUGGAUGUUAUAGUGUUAGUAGAGGUUAGGACUAGUAACAGGGAUGUUGUAGUGCUAGUGGAGGUUAGGACUAGUAACAGGGAUGUUAUAGUUUUAGUAGAGGUUAGGACUAGUAACAGGGAUGUUGUGGUGUUGGUGGAGGUUAGGACUAGUAACAGUGAUGUUAUAGUGUUGGUGGAGGUUAGAACUAGUAACAGGGAUGUUGUAGUGUUAGUGGAGGUUAGGACUAGUAACAGGGAUGUUGUGGUGUUGGUGGAGGUUAGGACUAGUAACAGGGAUAUUAUAGUAUUAGUGGAGGUUAGGACUAGUACCAGGGAUGUUGUAGUGUUAGUGGAGGUUAGGACUAGUAACAGGGAUGUUAUAGUGUUGGUGGAUGUUAGGACUAGUAACAGGGAUGUUGUGGUGUUGUUGGAGGUUAGGACUAGUAACAGGAAUGUUGUGGUGUUAGUGGAGGUUAGGACUAGUAACCGGGAUGUUGUGGUGUUGGUGGAGGUUAGGACUAGUAACAGGGAUGUUGUGGUGUUAGUGGAGGUUAGGACUAGUAACAGGGAUGUUGUAGUGUUGGUGGAGGUUAGGACUAGUAACAGGGAUGUUGUAGUGUUGGUGGAGGUUAGAACUAGUAACAGGGGUGUUGGUGGAGGUUAGGACUAGUAACAGGGAUGUUGUAGUGUUAGUGGAGGUUAGGACUAGUAACAGGGAUGUUGUGGUGUUGGUGGAGGUUAGGACUAGUAACAGGGAUGUUGUGGUGUUGGUGGAGGUUAGAACUAGUAACAGGGAUGUUAUAGUGUUAGUGGAGGUUGGGACUAGUAACAGGGAUGUUGUGGUGUUGGUGGAGGUUAGGACUAGUAACAGGGAUGUUGUAGUGCUAGUGGAGGUUAGGACUAGUAACAGGGAUGUUGUGGUGUUGGUGGAGGUUAGGACUAGUAACAGGGAUGUUGUGGUGUUGGUGGAGGUUAGGACUAGUAACAGGGAUGUUGUGGUGUUGGUGGAGGUUAGGACUAGUAACAGGGAUGUUAUAGUAUUAGUGGAGGUUAGGACUAGUAACAGGGAUGUUGUGGUGUUGGUGGAGGUUAGGACUAGUAACAGGGAUGUUGUGGUGUUGGUGGAGGUUAGGACUAGUAACAGGGAUGUUAUAGUAUUAGUGGAGGUUAGGACUAGUAACAGGGAUGUUGUGGUGUUGGUGGAGGUUAGGACUAGUAACAGGGAUGUUGUGGUGUUAGUGGAGGUUAGGACUAGUAACAGGGAUGUUGUAGUGUUGGUGGAGGUUAGGACUAGUAACAGGAAUGUUGUGGUGUUGGUGGAGGUUAGGACUAGUAACAGGGAUGUUGUGGUGUUGGUGGAGGUUAGGACUAGUAACAGGGAUGUUGUGGUGUUAGUGGAGUUUAGGACUAGUAACAGGGAUGUUAUAGUGUUGGUGGAGGUUAGGACUAGUAACAGGGGUGUUGUGGUGUUAGUGGUUAGGACUAGUAACAGGGAUGGUGUGGUGUUGGUGGAGGUUAGGACUAGUAACAGGGAUGGUUUGGUGUUGGUGGAGGUUAGGACUAGUAACAGGGAUGUUGUGGUGUUAGUGGAGGUUAGGACUAGUAACAGGGAUGUUGUGGUGUUAGUGGAGGUUAGAACUAGUAACAGGGAUGUUAUAGUGUUGGUGGAGGUUAGGACUAGUAACAGGGAUGUUGUAGUGUUAGUCGAGGUUAGGACUAGUAUCAUGGAUGUUAUAGUGUUAGUAGAGGUUAGGACUAGUAACAGGGAUGUUGUAGUGCUAGUGGAGGUUAGGACUAGUAACAGGGAUGUUAUAGUUUUAGUAGAGGUUAGGACUAGUAACAGGGAUGUUGUGGUGUUGGUGGAGGUUAGGACUAGUAACAGUGAUGUUAUAGUGUUGGUGGAGGUUAGAACUAGUAACAGGGAUGUUGUAGUGUUAGUGGAGGUUAGGACUAGUAACAGGGAUGUUGUGGUGUUGGUGGAGGUUAGGACUAGUAACAGGGAUGUUAUAGUAUUAGUGGAGGUUAGGACUAGUAACAGGGAUGUUGUGGUGUUGGUGGAGGUUAGGACUAGUAACAGGGAUGUUAUAGUAUUAGUGGAGGUUAGGACUAGUAACAGGGAUGUUGUAGUGUUAGUGGAGGUUAGGACUAGUAACAGGGAUGUUGUGGUGUUAGUGGAGGUUAGGACUAGUAACAGGGAUGUUGUAGUGUUGGUGGAGGUUAGGACUAGUAACAGGGAUGUUGUAGUGUUGGUGGAGGUUAUGACUAGUAACAGGGAUGUUGUGGUGUUGGUGGAGGUUAGGACUAGUAACAGGGAUGUUGUAGUGUUAGUGGAGGUUAGGACUAGUAACAGGGAUGUUGUGGUGUUGGUGGAGGUUAGGACUAGUAACAGGGAUGUUGUGGUGUUAGUGGAGGUUAGGACUAGUAACAGGGAUGUUGUGGUGUUAGUGGAGGUUAGGACUAGUAACAGGGAUGUUGUGGUGUUGGUGGAGGUUAGGACUAGUAACAGGGAUGUUGUGGUGUUGGUGGAGGUUAGAACUAGUAACAGGGAUGUUAUAGUGUUAGUGGAGGUUAGGACUAGUAACAGGGAUGUUGUGGUGUUGGUGGAGGUUAGGACUAGUAACAGGGAUGUUAUAGUAUUAGUGGAGGUUAGGACUAGUAACAGGGAUGUUGUAGUGCUAGUGGAGGUUAGGACUAGUAACAGGGAUGUUGUGGUGUUGGUGGAGGUUAGGACUAGUAACAGGGAUGUUGUAUUGUUAGUGGAGGUUAGGACUAGUAACAGGGAUGUUGUGGUGUUGGUGGAGUUUAGGACUAGUAACAGGGAUGUUAUAGUAUUAGUGGAGGUUAGGACUAGUAACAGGGAUGUUGUGGUGUUGGUGGAGGUUAGGACUAGUAACAGGGAUGUUGUAGUGUUGGUGGAGGUUAGGACUAGUAACAGGGAUGUUGUGGUGUUGGUGUAGGUUAGGACUAGUAACACGGAUGUUGUGGUGCUGGUGGAGGUUAGGACUAGUAACAGGGAUGUUGUGGUGUUAGUGGAGGUUAGGACUAGUAACAGGGAUGUUGUGGUGUUGGUGAAGGUUAGGACUAGUAACAGGGAUGUUGUGGUGUUGGUGGAGGUUAGGACUAGUAACAGGGAUGUUGUUGUGUUGGUGGAGGUUAGGACUAGUAACGGGGAUGUUGUGGUGUUAGUGGUUAGGACUAGUAACAGGGAUGGUGUGGUGUUGGUGGAGGUUAGGACUAGUAACAGGGAUGGUUUGGUGUCGGUGGAGGUUAGGACUAGUAACAGGGAUGUUGUGGUGUUAGUGGAGGUUAGGACUAGUAACAGGGAUGUUGUGGUGUUAGUGGAGGUUAGAACUAGUAACAGGGAUGUUAUAGUGUUGGUGGAGGUUAGGACUAGUAACAGGGAUGUUGUAGUGUUAGUGGAGGUUAGGACUAGUAUCAUGGAUGUUAUAGUGUUAGUAGAGGUUAGUACUAGUAACAGGGAUGUUGUGGUGUUAGUGGAGGUUAGGACUAGUAACAGGGAUGUUGUGGUGUUAGUGGAGGUUAGGACUAGUAACAGGGAUGUUGUAGUGUUGGUGGAGGUUAGGACUAGGAACAGGGAUGAUGUGGAGGUUAGGACUAGUAACAGGGAUGUUGUGGUGUUAGUGGAGGUUAGGACUAGUAACAGGGAUGUUGUGGUGUUAGUGGAGGUUAGAACUAGUAACAGGGAUGUUAUAGUGUUAGUGGAGGUUAGGACUAGUAACAGGGAUGUUGUGGUGUUAGUGGAGGUUAGGACUAGUAACAGGGAUGUUGUGGUGUUAGUGGAGGUUAGAACUAGUAACAGGGAUGUUAUAGUGUUAGUGGAGGUUAGGACUAGUAACAGGGAUGUUGUGGUGUUGGUGGAGGUUAGGACUAGUAACAGGGAUGUUAUAGUAUUAGUGGAGGUUAGGACUAGUAACAGGGAUGUUGUGGUGUUAGUGGAGGUUAGGACUAGUAACAGGGAUGUUGUGGUGUUAGUGGAGGUUAGAACUAGUAACAGGGAUGUUAUAGUGUUAGUGGAGGUUAGGACUAGUAACAGGGAUGUUGUGGUGUUGGUGGAGGUUAGGACUAGUAACAGGGAUGUUAUAGUAUUAGUGGAGGUUAGGACUAGUAACAUGGAUGUUGUAGUGCUAGUGGAGGUUAGGACUAGUAACAGGGAUGUUGUAUUGUUAGUGGAGGUAAGGACUAGUAACAGGGAUGUUGUGGUGUUGGUGGAGGUUAGGACUAGUAACAGGGAUGUUAUAGUAUUAGUGGAGCUUAGGACUAGUAACAGGGAUGUUAUAGUGUUGGAGGUUAGGACUAGUAACAGUGAUGUUGUGGUGUUGGUGGAGGUUAGGACUAGUAACAGGGAUGUUAUAGUGUUGGUGGAGGUUAUGACUAGUAACAGGGAUGUUUUAGUGUUGGUGGAGGUUAGGACUAGUAACAGGAAUGUUGUGGUGUUGGUGGAGGUUAGGACUAGUAACAGGGAUGUUGUGGUGUUAGUGGAGGUUAGGACUAGUAACGGAUGUUGUAGUGUUGGUGGAGGUUAGGACUAGUAACAGGAAUGUUGUGGUGUUGGUGGAGGUUGGGACUAGUAACAGGUAUGUUAUAGUGUUAGUGGAGGUUAGGACUAGUAACAGGGAUGUUAUAGUGUUAGUGGAGGUUAGGACUAGUAACAGGGAUGUUGUGGUGUUGGUGGAGGUUAGGACUAGUAACAGGGGUGUUGUAGUGUUGGAGGUUAGAACUAGUAACAGGGAUGUUAUAGUGUUAGUGGAGGUUAGGACUAGUAACAGGGAUGUUAUAGUGUUGGUGGAGGUUAGGACUAGUAACAGGGAUGUUGUGGUGUUGGUGGAGGUUGGGACUAGUAACAGGGAUGUUGUAGUGUUGGUGGAGGUUAGGACUAGUAACAGGGAUGUUGUGGUGUUAGUGGAGGUUAGGACUAGUAACGGGGAUGUUGUGGUGUUAGUGGAGGUUAGGACUAGUAACAGGGAUGGUGUGGUGUUGGUGGAGGUUAGGACUAGUAACAGGGAUGUUGUGGUGUUAGUGGAGGUUAGAACUAGUAACAGGGAUGUUAUAGUGUUAGUGGAGGUUAGGACUAGUAACAGGGAUGUUGUGGUGUUAGUGGAGGUUAGAACUAGUAACAGGGAUGUUAUAGUGUUGGUGGAGGUUAGGACUAGUAACAGGGAUGUUGUGGUGUUGGUGGAGGUUAGGACUAGUAACAGGGAUGUUAUAGUGUUGGUGGAGGUUAGGACUAGUAACAGGGAUGUUGUGGUGUUGUUGGAGGUUAGGACUAGUAACAGGGAUGUUGUGGUGUUGGUGGAGGUUAGGACUAGUAACAGGGAUGUUGUAGUGUUGGAGGUUAGAACUAGUAACAGGGAUGUUAUAGUGUUAGUGGAGGUUAGGACUAGUAACAGGGAUGUUGUAGUGUUGGAGGUUAGGACUAGUAACAGGGAUGUUAUAGUGUUAGUGGAGGUUAGGACUAGUAACAGGGAUGUUGUGGUGUUGGUGGAGGUUAGGACUAGUAACAGGGAUGUUGUGGUGUUAGUGGAGGUUAGGACUAGUAACAGGGAUGGUGUGGUGUUGUUGGAGGUUAGGACUAGUAACAGGGAUGUUAUGGUGUUGGUGGAGGUUAGGACUAGUAACAGGGAUGUUGUAGUGUUGGAGGUUAGAACUAGUAACAGGGAUGUUAUGGUGUUAGUGGAGGUUAGGACUAGUAACAGGGAUGUUGUAGUGUUAGUGGAGGUUAGGACUAGUAACAGGGAUGUUAUAGUGUUGGUGGAGGGUAGGACUAGUAACAGGGAUGUUGUGGUGUUGGUGGAGGUUGGGACUAGUAACAGGGAAGUUGUAGUGUUGGUGGAGGUUAGGACUAGUAACAGGGAUGUUGUGGUGUUAGUGGAGGUUAGGACUAGUAACGGGGAUGUUGUGGUGUUAGUGGAGGUUCGGACUAGUAACAGGGAUGUUAUAGUGUUGGUGGAGGUUAGGACUAGUAACAGGGAUGUUGUGGUGUUGGUGGAGGUUAGGACUAGUAACAGGGAUGUUGUGGUGUUAGUGGAGGUUAGGACUAGUAACAGGGAUGGUGUGGUGUUGGUGGAGGUUAGGACUAGUAACAGGGAUGUUGUAGUGGAGGCGCUGCCCUGGAAGUGCAAGGUAGUCAUCCAGUGUUGUAGACACAGCCGUGCAUUUCUCUCUCUGUCUUUCUCUCUCUCUCUCUCGUUCUUUGUCGCUCUCUCUCUCUCACUCUAUCUCUACCCCUUCUCUCUCUCCCUCCAUCUCUCUCUCGGUCUUUCCCUCCAUCUCUCUCUCUCUCUCUCUCUCUAUUUGUGUUAGUGAUUACACCACUCUCUCUCUCUCUCUCUCUCUCUCUCUUGCAUAACCGCCAGCUUUAUUUGCUCCAGCUGAGGACUAAUCUCUCCCGCGAGACAGACGGAAGGAACAAGGGAGAAGAGGAGAGCAGGAAAAGCCAACCUUUCUAAACUGACUGGACGCUCUGCCUCGUUAAUUCAAUCAGUCCACCAAUGAAUGGUCUUUCGAGCAGAACCCUGUUUACAACCACCGUGACCUGUGUGUUUAUGUAGCAGUGUUUUUAAUCUUUAAAACCCCACAAUCUUCUCCAACUGUAGCUGAGUUGACGCGUGGUUUCCCCUCGUGUGUCUGUUUGUGUGGAGAGCAGGCGCAUGGUACUCCCCAUGGUAGCCCAGUCAUACUGGAGGAUAAACAGUGAUUAUCUGGGCUGCCUGGAGAGAGACACAUGCUUAUGUACCACUUUCAGACAGACCACACAUACAUGUGAGGGACACUGUAGCCAAGACAACGCUCUAGCUACAGUCAGAGGAGAAUAACACAUAAACAAAGACACACACAGAAUCACGUUCAGUCAAGUGUGAAUUGUCCUGCCUGUCAAACACGCGUCCACAAUAGAGGUCGACCGAUUAUCGGAAUGGCCGAUUAAUUAAGGCCGGUUUCAAGUUUUCAUAACAAUCGGAAAUCGGUUUUUUUUGGCGCCGAUUUGCCUAUUUUUUUUAUAUAUUUUUUUACAGCUUUAUUUAAUCUUUAUUUAACUAGGCAAGUCAGUUAAGAACACAUUCUUAUUUUCAAUGACGGCUCCGGGGAUCCAAUCUUGCAACCUGACAGUUAACUAGUCCAAUGCUCUAACACCUGAUUACAUUACACUCCACGAGGAGCCUGCCUGUUAUGCGAAUGCAGUAAGCUAAGGGAAGUUGCUAGCUAGCAUUAAACUUAUCUUAUAAAAAACAAUCAAUCAAUGACUGUCAUUGCUCCAAUGUGUACUUAACCAUAAACAUCAAUGCCUUUCUUAAAAUCAAUACACAAGUAUAUAUUUUUAAACCUGCAUAUUUAGCUAAAAGAAAUCCAGGUUAGCAGGUAAUAUUAACCAGGUGAAAUUGUGUCAUUUCUCUUGCGUUCAUUGCACGCAGAGUCAGGGUAUAUGCAACAGUUUGGGCCGCCUGGCUCUUUGCGAACUAAUUUGCCAGAAUUUUACGUAAUUAUGACAUAACAUUGAAGGUUGUGCAAUGUAACAGGAAUAUUUAGACUCAUGGAUGCCACCCGUUAGAUAAAAUACGGAACGGAAUAAACAUUUGUUUUCGAGGUGAUAGUUUCCGGAUUAGUCAAAGGUAUAUAUGGUUUAGAGAGAAAUAGUCGACGCGUUAUAAUUCCUGUAAUAACUUGCGGCUGAACUUGAAAGGGGUUCCUUCGUUAUUUUACCGUUCAUGUCUUCCAUAGAGAAUGUCUUGAUCUACUUCAAAUAAGGUCUGUGUUUCGCGGAGGAGCAGACUGACAGGGGACCAUGCAGACAAGCUCUGCUUUCUGCACUACAACCUAAAACUUCUUAACUGGGAAUAUUGAAGACCCAUGAAAGCUGGUGGUUCGUUUUAACAUAUGUUCUCAUGUUAUUUGAGACUAAAUUGAUUUUAUUUAUGUAUUAUAUUAAGUUAAAAUAAGUGUUCAUUGUUCAUUCAGUAUUGUUGAAAUUGUCAUUAUUACAAAAAUGUGUAUGAUAUAUAUAUACACUGCUCCAAAAAAUAAAGGGAACACUUAAACAACACAAUGUAACUCCAAGUCAAUCACACUUAUGUGAAAUCGAACUGUCCACUUAGGAAGCAACACUGAUUGACAAUAAAUUUCACAUGCUGUUUUGCAAAUGGAAUAGACAAAAGGUGGAAAUUAUAGGCAAUUAGCAAGAUACCCCCCAAUAAAGGAGUGGUUCUGCAGGUGGUGACCACAUACUACUUCUCAGUUCCUAUGCUCCCUGUCUGAUGUUUUGGUCACUUUUGAAUGCUGGCGGUGCUUUCACUCUAGUGGUAGCAUGAGACAGAGUCUACAACCCACACAAGUGGCUCAGGUAGUGACCAUCAUCAGGAGCAUGCCCAGGCGUUGUAGGGAGGUCAUACAGGCACGUGGAGGUCACACACACUACUGAGCCUCAUUUUGACUUGUUUUAAGGACAUUACAUCAAAGUUGGAUCAGCCUGUAGUGUGGUUUUCCACUUUAAUUUUGAGUGUGACUCCAAAUCCAGACCUCCAUGGGUUGAUACAUUUGAUUUCCAUUGAUCAUUUUUGUGUGAUUUUGUUGUCAGCACAUUCAAAAAUGUAAAGAAAAAAGUAUUUAAUAAGAAUAUUUCAUUCAUUCAGAUCUAGGAUGUGUUAUUUUAGUGUUCCCUUUAUUUUUUUGAGCAGUGUAUAUAAAAAUUCAUCGGCCGAAUAAUCGGUAUCGGCUUUUUUUGUCCUCCAAUAAUCGGUAUCGGCGUUUAAAAAUCAUAAUCGGUCGACCUCUAGUCCACACAGAUACAUACACACAAUGCCGCCGGCGGCGUCUGUGAGGUGAGUGUGAGGCGAAUGUUACGUAAUAAAGAUCAAAGCUACUUAAUCAGCUUUGAGAGAGAGAGAUGGGGGAGGAAUGGACAGAGGAGGGACAGCGGGAAAAGAAAGAAUGGGGAGAUGGAGGGAUAGCAGAGAACAGAGUGUAGAGAAAGUGGUGACAGGCGGUGAAACUGCGCGUGUCCUCUUUCCCUGUUUACGAUGGUAUAAGCACACACAUGCAUGCACGCACACACACGCUGUGCUCUGCCCUCGGUGUCCCCCUCACAGCCCACUGUGACAUGCUGUUGCCAAUGCCACGAUACUGUGUGUGUGUUGUCUUUGUCUUUUCUUUUCCUAUAUGCCUAUUCCAUAUCUCUUUCUCUCCCCCUCCCUCUCUUUGUAAAUCCUUUCUUUGCUUACCCUUUACCUCCUCCCUCUCUUCCCUCUCUCGCCCACUACGUCUCUCUUACAGGAAUUGUUAGCAGAUGUGGACAGAGCUUUUUCCUUCAUCUAAAAUUAGCCCCAAUAGAAGAAUGGCAGGGAGGGAGGGAGGGAAGGAUUGAUGGAGAAGUAGAAAGGAAUAGGGAAGGAAUAGGUUGAUGUUCUCGGUGAAGUAAGGGUGUGCUUUUGGGACCUCGCACACCAUGCUGACACAGUCAAGCCGUCGGAGGCACAAACAAAGUUGGAGGAGAGGAACAGCAUCCCGGUGUUUGAGUAGCAUGUGACGGAAACCCAUCCUGCUGUUGUUGAAAAGGCAUGGAUUAAGAUUAGGACUAGUUGUAAGUGAAUAAUGAUGAGAAGGAGUAGUCUGACAGCAGGCAGCAGUAGUCUGACAGCAGGCAGCAGUAGUCUGACAGCAGGCAGCAGUAGUCUGACAGCAGGCAGCAGUAGUCUGACAGCAGGCAGCAGUAGUCUGACAGCAGGCAG
This is an RNA transcript of Salvelinus fontinalis (brook trout), 20510 nucleotides long. RefSeq lists it as uncharacterized. The transcript has 2 exons. NCBI's taxonomy places the organism in Eukaryota, Metazoa, Chordata, Actinopteri, Salmoniformes, Salmonidae. The record is from RefSeq and is a predicted model, not a curated record.